Oenanthe melanoleuca is the source of this 188-nucleotide long non-coding RNA. RefSeq lists it as uncharacterized. The transcript has 3 exons. NCBI's taxonomy places the organism in Eukaryota, Metazoa, Chordata, Aves, Passeriformes, Muscicapidae. The record is from RefSeq and is a predicted model, not a curated record.
GGGGACGGCGCGGGGGGGGCGGAGGCGACAGCGGGGACAGGAUGGGACAGAGGGCCGUGGAGCCGCUGCUGCUGCUGCUGCUGCUCUCAGCCGCCGCCGUGUCGCAGCCGCCGCCGUGUCCCCCGGGCCAGGCGGCCUCGGGGGGUGGCUCUGGCGGCCGCUGCGUCCCGGUGUCGCCGGAGGGGGAC